Molecule: non-coding RNA, 2067 nt
Organism: Paramuricea clavata
Lineage: Eukaryota; Metazoa; Cnidaria; Anthozoa; Malacalcyonacea; Plexauridae
Source: the annotation of a GenBank genome assembly
UCAGAGGAGGUUGGACAGCAGGCCGCAAAGCAUCAUGGGUAUUGAGCGCCUAAUUCCACGCGUGGCUUUCAUUGACUGUUGACUGUCGAGGAGUGAACAUCUCUCUGACUACAAAACCAAUAUGGAAGCUUUCGAACGACAAGAAUGUCAGGCUGCGAUAUUUUGUGAAAACAGCAUGUUAUUGCUGUAUUGUUGCGAUCAUCAUUAUGACUUGUGUUUUACUAUAUCAAGUUUACCUUUUUUUAAAUUGCAUGGGACGUGUUGUCAUUUUAGCUUUACAAAUAAUCCGUCUGAGAAAAGGAAUUGUGUUUAAUUUAUAUUCCCAAUAGCGAGGCUCUUCUUUCUAAGUUGGAUGGCGUUAAAUCUCUGUGUAUCAUCAAAGUGAAAACAAGCGCAGUAUUUAAGGUUGGUAUACUACAAUGCAUUACAGUUAUCGUGUUAUUUUAUAGUCAAAUUUCCGCUUUGUUGUUUUUAUUCUUGUACUUUUAAUAUAAAUACACUGUACAAAAUUAUGGCGUCAUACUUGUGUUUACAAUGCCUCUAGUUUGACCCUAUAGUGUGUGUAUAUGUACUGUGUCACUGUGAUACAUAUGUACAUGUUUUGAGUUAAACGAAUUGUUUAAUACAUUUUUGCUGAAGUAUGAUGCCUGUUUGUAUGGAUAGAUUUUUACAUAUAUGUGCAUACAGUAUAGUAUAUUUUUCAAUUUUCAUCUGUAAAAUAAUAUUUGUGUGUUGUUCUAAUAUUACUGUAAAUAGUGACACACUUUUGCAUUAGAUUGCUAAUUUUAGAGAUUACAGUGUAUGUAUAAAAUAAUAAAAUAAAAAUUUUCUUGUUAUGAUUUUGUAGAAAGAGAUCUACUUGAGUGGUUCAGUGGUUGGCUGGUCUUGAACCUGGUCAGCAUGGAUAUGGUCAUUAUAGGGCAGAAAGUGGUGACCAGUUAAGUGAUCAGGAUGAAAGUGACGAGGACGAAAUCACCCAUGCUGUGCCAUUCAAGUGCAUUGGUGCUGUUCAUGAGAAACAUUACCAAGAUCAUUUGUAACAGGCAUAAACCAGUGAAUGUAAGAAUAUGUCCAAAGCCAUUGAAUCCAAUGGACCAAAGUGCAAUAGCAAUUGAUGUAGACUAUGGAACUGGAUGGACACAUGUGAUGUUGGCUAUAUUAUUUGCACCCACUAAUUGCUGCAUGAGAUAUCUUAGAGGUCUAUGUUCAGCAUAUAAAGUAUAGGGUUGACUUUUUUAAAAUAGGAUUUUAUCCAAAAUUUUUCAUAAAGGGAUGUGGUGAGUGGGAACUCAAGUGGUAAGGAGGGGCAUGAGUGUAUGUCGACAGAUGUUUGUGAUAUAAUAGUAACUGACUAGGUUUAGCAAGUUAUAGAAAUGAUGUUAUUUAAAUUGGCUAACUUUUUAGAUUUUUUCAGCAUUUUUACCUUUCACUUUAUUGCCAAACAAAAAUGAAAAAUCAUUUAAUUUAAGUAGGUGUGUAUCUAUAAGAAAACAAUAUCUGUCAUGUGCACUUGUGCAACUCCCUCAAAAUAGCAAUAUUGCUUUUUUAUUGUGUAGGACACCAAUAUGGUUCUCAUUACCUAUAUCGAUCUAAACUUAAAAAAACAUGUGCUAUAAAUAAAUGCAUCUACCUAUUUCGUGACUGAAUAGAAUUUAUUUUGUCAAGCCAUGUAAUUAAUUUUCAAAUUGCUGUGACUUUAUGUAACCCUUCUGCAGGAAUUGAGCCUAAACCCUAAAGCACCAACCCCUAAAGCACCAACCCAUCCCCAACAAUAACAUUACAUCUUACUGUCAAUUUGUCUUUGAAAUCUGACCACCAAUGUUUAUUUGUAAGUUCGGAAUGUAUGUUGCAAAGUUUGACUGCAGUUCGUUUUAAAGUUGGUUCUGUGAAAAUCGGGCUGAGUUGAAUUUAAAUGGUUCUUAUUUCCAGUCAAAAUAUGGGUCUCUAUUUACUUGUUUCUAUAUACACCUGUUGACUCUGGAUGGUCUUCAGAAUUAUCAAAUAAUGUACCUGCAUUAUAAAUGCUUCCUCCUUUAACUUAAUAGUGUUCAUGCAUACUAAAAAACC